AGCAGGAUCAGCCCCCGAGUGUCUGUUAAGACUCAAUGAAAGGGGCUCCGGUUUCAUAG
This is a small nucleolar RNA of 59 nucleotides. It matches the Rfam family "Pyrobaculum sRNA 209". Rfam says of the family: Non canonical pseudouridylation guide sRNA features. Predicted to target 16S U8 in Pyrobaculum. The record is from Rfam.